Molecule: ribosomal RNA, 497 nt
Filed under: uncultured bacterium
Lineage: Bacteria
Description: partial 16S ribosomal RNA
Rfam family: Bacterial small subunit ribosomal RNA
Source: RNAcentral
GAUGAACGCUGGCGGCGUGCCUAAUACAUGCAAGUCGAGCGAACAGAUAAGGAGCUUGCUCCUUUGACGUUAGCGGCGGACGGGUGAGUAACACGUGGGUAACCUAUCUAUAAGACUGGAAUAACUCCGGGAAACCGGGGCUAAUGCCGGAUAACAUGUUGAACCGCAUGGUUCUACAGUGAAAGGCGGCUUUGCUGUCACUUAUAGAUGGACCCGCGCCGUAUUAGCUAGUUGGUGAGGUAACGGCUCACCAAGGCAACGAUACGUAGCCGACCUGAGAGGGUGAUCGGCCACACUGGAACUGAGACACGGUCCAGACUCCUACGGGAGGCAGCAGUAGGGAAUCUUCCGCAAUGGGCGAAAGCCUGACGGAGCAACGCCGCGUGAGUGAAGAAGGUCUUCGGAUCGUAAAACUCUGUUAUUAGGGAAGAACAAAUGCGUAAGUAACUGUGCGCGUCUUGACGGUACCUAAUCAGAAAGCCACGGCUAACUACGUG